GACGAACGCUGGCGGCGUGCUUAACACAUGCAAGUCGAACGGAAAGGCCCUGCUUGCAGGGUACUCGAGUGGCGAACGGGUGAGUAACACGUGGGUGAUCUGCCCUGCACUUCGGGAUAAGCCUGGGAAACUGGGUCUAAUACCGGAUAGGAGCCAUUUUUAGUGUGUUGGUUGGAAAGUUUUUUCGGUGUAGGAUGAGCUCGCGGCCUAUCAGCUUGUUGGUGGGGUAAUGGCCUACCAAGGCGGCGACGGGUAGCCGGCCUGAGAGGGUGGACGGCCACAUUGGGACUGAGAUACGGCCCAGACUCCUACGGGAGGCAGCAGUGGGGAAUAUUGCACAAUGGGCGCAAGCCUGAUGCAGCGACGCCGCGUGGGGGAUGACGGCCUUCGGGUUGUAAACUCCCUUCGCUAGGGACGAAGCUUUUUGUGACGGUACCUAGAUAAGAAGCACCGGCUAACUACGUG
RNAcentral lists this ribosomal RNA (465 nucleotides) under uncultured bacterium. RNAcentral's name for it is "partial 16S ribosomal RNA". It matches the Rfam family "Bacterial small subunit ribosomal RNA", at positions 28 to 507 of the family's 1533-position model. The record is from RNAcentral.